AGCAGCCACGGUAAUUCCAGCUCCAAUAGCGUAUAUUAAAGUUGUUGCAGUUAAAAAGCUCGUAGUUGAAUUUCGGGAUCAAUUCGUCGGUCGUGCUUUUUGGUACGUACUGGCGUUAUUGGUUUCUCCUUUCUGACGAGCCAUGAUGUCAUUAAUUUGGUGUUAUGGGGAGUUAGGACUGUUACUUUGAAAAAAUUAGAGUGUUUAAAGCAGGCAUUGGCUUGAAUACAUUAGCAUGGAAUAAUGAAAUAGGACGUUCGAUCCUAUUUUGUUGGUUUUUAGGAUCAACGUAAUGAUUAAUAGGGAUAGUUGGGGGCAUUAGUAUUCAAUUGUCAGAGGUGAAAUUCUUGGAUUUAUUGAAGACUAACUACUGCGAAAGCAUUUGCCAAGGAUGUUUUCAUUAAUCAAGAACGAAAGUUAGGGGAUCGAAGACGAUCAGAUACCGUCGUAGUCUUAACCAUAAACUAUGCCGACUAGGGAUCGGAUGAUGUUAAUUUUUAAUGACUCAUUCGGCGCCUUA
Molecule: ribosomal RNA, 520 nt
Filed under: uncultured Glomus
Lineage: Eukaryota; Fungi; Glomeromycota; Glomeromycetes; Glomerales; Glomeraceae
Description: SSU rRNA
Rfam family: Eukaryotic small subunit ribosomal RNA
Source: RNAcentral